This is a non-coding RNA of Xyrichtys novacula (pearly razorfish), 167 nucleotides long. The record is from the annotation of a GenBank genome assembly. Lineage: Eukaryota; Metazoa; Chordata; Actinopteri; Labriformes; Labridae.
CACAGAAGACAACGGCGAGAAGACGAGCAAAGCAGUAAGUGGAAAGGUUAUUGUUUAAUUUUACUUUGUCCGUUUUCAGUGCGUCAUUUGGUUAGGCCAUGUAGUUCAGGCGCAAGUAAAUAACAUUUCCACUUACUUUGCUCGUUUUCUCGCUGUUGUCUUCUGUG